RNAcentral lists this ribosomal RNA (377 nucleotides) under uncultured eukaryote. RNAcentral describes it as "partial 18S ribosomal RNA". It matches the Rfam family "Eukaryotic small subunit ribosomal RNA", at positions 592 to 976 of the family's 1831-position model. The record is from RNAcentral.
CAGUAGCGUAUAUUAAAGUUGUUGCAGUUAAAAAGCUCGUAGUUGAAUUUUGGGUGUGGGGGUGCGGUGUUCUCGAAAGGGGACGACUGUGUGCUCUGUGCCUUGUUUGUAGGGAAUGCGUGUGUGCUUUAUUGUGUGCGCGUUGGAACUACAGGUUUACUUUGAAAAAAUUAGAGUGUUUAAGGCAGGCGUUGCUCGAAUACUACAGCAUGGAAUAAUAGAAUAGGACUUUGGUUUUAUUUUGUUGGUUUCUAGAACUGAGGUAAUGAUUAAUAGGGACAGUUGGGGGCAUUAGUAUUUCGUUGUCAGAGGUGAAAUUCUUGGAUUUACGAAAGACUAACUUCUGCGAAAGCAUUUGCCAAGGAUGUUUUCAUUAA